UGUGGAAGUAUUUGUGGUAGUCAGAAUUCUCCCCUAAAGUUAAGAAUUUCAAAUAGAGAUUGCUGAAUAAUAUCCCCCAGGUAAAAUCUAAGCUGUAGGAGAAAGGGAUUGGAAUUGUGAACGUGCACCCUGUAUGUGACAAGGAGGAAACCACCGAGCAUUUCUUCUUUGAUUGUGAAAAAAGCUAGGGCUUACUGGCAAAAAUUGGGUAUACACUUCCUGGCAAGACAGACCAAUGAAGUAAUCAGAUGGAUGGAACAUCAAGCUAAAACGAUCGCAAAGCAGGAGUUAAGGGAGAUACUUUACUGCUUAUGGCGCCUCUGACUUGAGCGGAAUAAAUUUUUGUGGACUUGAUGACAUUUGGUAAUUAGACCUCCAUCUUUCUAGCAAG
RNAcentral lists this long non-coding RNA (391 nucleotides) under Carica papaya (papaya). RNAcentral describes it as "long non-coding RNA (CPAP_LNC001601)". Lineage: Eukaryota; Viridiplantae; Streptophyta; Magnoliopsida; Brassicales; Caricaceae. The record is from RNAcentral.